This 468-nucleotide ribosomal RNA is filed under the name uncultured Streptococcus sp. Its description in RNAcentral is "bacterial SSU rRNA". It matches the Rfam family "Bacterial small subunit ribosomal RNA", at positions 915 to 1382 of the family's 1533-position model. Lineage: Bacteria; Bacillati; Bacillota; Bacilli; Lactobacillales; Streptococcaceae. The record is from RNAcentral.
GGGGGCCCGCACAAGCGGUGGAGCAUGGUGUUUAAUUCGAAGCAACGCGAAGAACCUUUACCAGGUCUUGACAUCCCGAUGCUUAUUUCUAGAGAUAGAAAGUUACUUCGGUACAUCGGUGACAGGUGGUGCAUGGUUGUCGUCAGCUCGUGUCGUGAGAUGUUGGGUUAAGUCCCGCAACGAGCGCAACCCCUAUUGUUAGUUGCCAUCAUUCAGUUUGGGCACUCUAGCGAGACUGCCGGUAAUAAACCGGAGGAAGUGGGGAUGACGUCAAAUCAUCAUGCCCCUUAUGACCUGGGCUACACACGUGCUACAAUGGUUGGUACAACGAGUUGCGAGUCGGUGACGGCGAGCUAAUCUCUUAAAGCCAAUCUCAGUUCGGAUUGUAGGCUGCAACUCGCCUACAUGAAGUCGGAAUCGCUAGUAAUCGCGGAUCAGCACGCCGCGGUGAAUACGUUCCCGGGCCUU